This 301-nucleotide ribosomal RNA is filed under the name uncultured bacterium. Its description in RNAcentral is "partial 16S ribosomal RNA". It matches the Rfam family "Bacterial small subunit ribosomal RNA", at positions 509 to 809 of the family's 1533-position model. The record is from RNAcentral.
CAGCAGCCGCGGUAAUACAGAAGGUCCAAGCGUUAAUCGGAAUUACUGGGCGUAAAGCGCGCGUAGGUGGUUUGUUAAGUUGGAUGUGAAAGCCCCGGGCUCAACCUGGGAACUGCAUCCAAAACUGGCAAGCUAGAGUACGGUAGAGGGUGGUGGAAUUUCCUGUGUAGCGGUGAAAUGCGUAGAUAUAGGAAGGAACACCAGUGGCGAAGGCGACCACCUGGACUGAUACUGACACUGAGGUGCGAAAGCGUGGGGAGCAAACAGGAUUAGAGACCCCUGUAGUCCCUGUCUCUUAUAA